CCCCACUGUCUAUAUCACUCUGUUCAGCUCUUAAUAUUAUUCCGUAUCAUGUCUUUGUGACGUCGAAUACGUUGACCCGGCCUUAAUAACUUUGACCCGGACAUAUCAGCGACGUCAUAAUGUUUGAACCGACGUUAAUAACUUUGACCCGAACUUAUCAAGUCAUCUUUUGUGUGCUGGUGAAACAAAGAAAACACUUCUGAAACACGCAAAUAUAGCCCGAUAAAUCGAUUAUCAGAUUAUCUGCAUAUUGAUAUUGUAAAAUAUCAGCUGCUUGACAUUAUAUGAAGGCUUUUUGAUCUCGUUCGCUACGCUCACUCGACAAAAAGCUUCAUAUUAUGUCUCGCAGCUAAUAUUUUACGAUAUCAACAUGCAGAUAACCUGAUAAUCGGUAUUUAUUUCACAUGUGAAAUUAUCGGUUUUUAUCUAACUGAGAAAUCAAUGUAAUUCAUUGCAACCAAUGUAAUAA
This 469-nucleotide long non-coding RNA is filed under the name Mytilus galloprovincialis (Mediterranean mussel). Lineage: Eukaryota; Metazoa; Mollusca; Bivalvia; Mytilida; Mytilidae. The record is from RNAcentral.